AGCGAACGCUGGCGGCAGGCCUAACACAUGCAAGUCGAACGAACUCUUCGGAGUUAGUGGCGGACGGGUGAGUAACACGUGGGAACGUGCCUUUAGGUUCGGAAUAACUCAGGGAAACUUGUGCUAAUACCGAAUGUGCCCUUCGGGGGAAAGAUUUAUCGCCUUUAGAGCGGCCCGCGUCUGAUUAGCUAGUUGGUGAGGUAAAGGCCCACCAAGGCGACGAUCCGUAGCUGGUCUGAGAGGAUGAUCAGCCACAUUGGGACUGAGACACGGCCCAAACUCCUACGGGAGGCAGCAGUGGGGAAUCUUGCGCAAUGGGCGAAAGCCUGACGCAGCCAUGCCGCGUGAAUGAUGAAGGUCUUAGGAUUGUAAAAUUCUUUCACCGGGGACGAUAAUGACGGUACCCGGAGAAGAAGCCCCGGCUAACUUCGUG
RNAcentral lists this ribosomal RNA (433 nucleotides) under uncultured bacterium. Its description in RNAcentral is "partial 16S ribosomal RNA". It matches the Rfam family "Bacterial small subunit ribosomal RNA", at positions 29 to 507 of the family's 1533-position model. The record is from RNAcentral.